UGGGGAAUAUUGCACAAUGGGCGAAAGCCUGAUGCAGCAACGCCGCGUGAGUGAUGAAGGUCUUCGGAUUGUAAAGCUCUGUCUUUUGGGACGAUAAUGACGGUACCAAAGGAGGAAGCCACGGCUAACUACGUGCCAGCAGCCGCGGUAAUACGUAGGUGGCGAGCGUUGUCCGGAUUUACUGGGCGUAAAGGGUGCGUAGGCGGAUGUUUAAGUGAGAUGUGAAAUACCCGGGCUUAACUUGGGUGCUGCAUUUCAAACUGGAUAUCUAGAGUGCAGGAGAGGAGAAUGGAAUUCCUAGUGUAGCGGUGAAAUGCGUAGAGAUUAGGAAGAACACCAGUGGCGAAGGCGAUUCUCUGGACUGUAACUGACGCUGAGGCACGAAAGCGUGGGUAGCAAACAGGAUUAGAUACCCUGGUAGUCCACGCCGUAAACGAUGAGUACUAGGUGUAGGGGGUAUCGACCCCUUCUGUGCCGCAGUAAACACAUUAAGUACUCCGCCUGGGAAGUACGAUCGCAAGAUUAAAAC
RNAcentral lists this ribosomal RNA (529 nucleotides) under uncultured bacterium. RNAcentral's name for it is "partial 16S ribosomal RNA". It matches the Rfam family "Bacterial small subunit ribosomal RNA", at positions 355 to 900 of the family's 1533-position model. The record is from RNAcentral.